This 427-nucleotide ribosomal RNA is filed under the name uncultured bacterium. RNAcentral's name for it is "bacterial SSU rRNA". It matches the Rfam family "Bacterial small subunit ribosomal RNA", at positions 355 to 774 of the family's 1533-position model. The record is from RNAcentral.
UGGGGAAUUUUGGACAAUGGGCGCAAGCCUGAUCCAGCGAUGCCGCGUGCAGGAUGAAGGCCUUCGGGUUGUAAACUGCUUUUGUACGGAGCGAAAAGGUCUGCCCUAAUACGGUGGGCUCAUGACGGUACCGUAAGAAUAAGCACCGGCUAACUACGUGCCAGCAGCCGCGGUAAUACGUAGGGUGCGAGCGUUAAUCGGAAUUACUGGUCGUAAAGCGUGCGCAGGCGGUUAUAUAAGACAGAUGUGAAAUCCCCGGGCUCAACCUGGGAACUGCAUUUGUGACUGUAGAGCUAGAGUACGGCAGAGGAGGAUGGAAUUCCGCGUGUAGCAGUGAAAUGCGUAGAGAUGUGGAGGAACACCGAUGGCGAAGGCAGCCCCCUGGGCCGAUACUGACGCUCAUGCACGAAAGCGUGGGUAGCAAACA